GAUGAACGCUGUCGGCGUGCUUAACACAUGCAAGUCGAACGAUGAACCUCACUUGUGGGGGGAUNUAGUGGCGAACGGGUGAGUAACACGUGAGUAACCUGCCCUUGACUCUGGGAUAAGCCUGGGAAACCGGGUCUAAUACUGGAUACGACCUUCUGGCGCAUGCCAUGUUGGUGGAAAGCUUUUGUGGUUUUGGAUGGACUCGCGGCCUAUCAGCUUGUUGGUGGGGUAAUGGCCUACCAAGGCGACGACGGGUAGCCGGCCUGAGAGGGUGACCGGCCACACUGGGACUGAGACACGGCCCAGACUCCUACGGGAGGCAGCAGUGGAGAAUAUUGCACAAUGGGCGCAAGCCUGAUGCAGCGGCGCCGCGUGAGGGAUGAAGGCCUUCGGGUUGUAAACCUCUUUCAGUAGGGAAGAAGCCGGCCUUUCGGGGUUGGUGACGGUACCUGCAGAAGAAGCGCCGGCUAACUACGUGCCAGCAGCCGCGGUAAUACGUAGGGCGCAAGCGUUAUCCGGAAUUAUUGGGCGUAAAGAGCUCGUAAGCGGUUUGUCGCGUCUGCCGUGAAAGUCCGGGGCUUAACCCCGGAUCUGCGGUGGGUACGGGCAGACUAGAGUGCAGUAGGGGAGACUGGAAUUCCUGGUGUAGCGGUGAAAUGCGCAGAUAUCAGGAGGAACACCGAUGGCGAAGGCAGGUCUCUGGGCUGUAACUGACGCUGAGGAGCGAAAGCAUGGGGAGCGAACAGGAUUAGAUACCCUGGUAGUCCAUGCCGUAAACGUUGGGCACUAGGUGUGGGGGACAUUCCACGUUUUCCGCGCCGUAGCUAACGCAUUAAGUGCCCCGCCUGGGGAGUACGGCCGCAAGGCUAAAACUCAAAGGAAUUGACGGGGGCCCGCACAAGCGGCGGAGCAUGCGGAUUAAUUCGAUGCAACGCGAAGAACCUUACCAAGGCUUGACAUGAACCGGAAUGAUGCAGAGAUGUGUCAGCCACUUGUGGCCGGUUUACAGGUGGUGCAUGGUUGUCGUCAGCUCGUGUCGUGAGAUGUUGGGUUAAGUCCCGCAACGAGCGCAACCCUCGUUCCAUGUUGCCAGCGGGUUAUGCCGGGGACUCAUGGGAGACUGCCGGGGUCAACUCGGAGGAAGGUGGGGACGACGUCAAAUCAUCAUGCCCCUUAUGUCUUGGGCUUCACGCAUGCUACAAUGGCCGGUACAAAGGGUUGCGAUACUGUGAGGUGGAGCUAAUCCCAAAAAGCCGGUCUCAGUUCGGAUUGAGGUCUGCAACUCGACCUCAUGAAGUUGGAGUCGCUAGUAAUCGCAGAUCAGCAACGCUGCGGUGAAUACGUUCCCGGGCCU
RNAcentral lists this ribosomal RNA (1354 nucleotides) under uncultured bacterium. RNAcentral describes it as "bacterial SSU rRNA". It matches the Rfam family "Bacterial small subunit ribosomal RNA", at positions 28 to 1381 of the family's 1533-position model. The record is from RNAcentral.